AUGAACGCUGGCGGCGUGCCUAAUACAUGCAAGUCGAGCGAACAGACGAGGAUCUUGCUCCUCUGACGUUAGCGGCGGACGGGUGAGUAACACGUGGAUAACCUACCUAUAAGACUGGGAUAACUUCGGGAAACCGGAGCUAAUACCGGAUAAUAUAUUGAACCGCAUGGUUCAAUAGUGAAAGACGGUUUUGCUGUCACUUAUAGAUGGAUCCGCGCCGCAUUAGCUAGUUGGUAAGGUAACGGCUUACCAAGGCGACGAUGCGUAGCCGACCUGAGAGGGUGAUCGGCCACACUGGAACUGAGACACGGUCCAGACUCCUACGGGAGGCAGCAGUAGGGAAUCUUCCGCAAUGGGCGAAAGCCUGACGGAGCAACGCCGCGUGAGUGAUGAAGGUCUUCGGAUCGUAAAACUCUGUUAUUAGGGAAGAACAAAUGUGUAAGUAACUAUGCACGUCUUGACGGUACCUAAUCAGAAAGCCACGGCUAACUACGUG
This 496-nucleotide ribosomal RNA is filed under the name uncultured bacterium. RNAcentral describes it as "partial 16S ribosomal RNA". It matches the Rfam family "Bacterial small subunit ribosomal RNA", at positions 29 to 507 of the family's 1533-position model. The record is from RNAcentral.